Non-coding RNA from Schistosoma rodhaini, 45 nucleotides. NCBI's taxonomy places the organism in Eukaryota, Metazoa, Platyhelminthes, Trematoda, Strigeidida, Schistosomatidae. The record is from Rfam.
AUCCAACUGACGAGUCAGAAAUAGGACGAAACGUGCGUCAUCGAU